This 275-nucleotide unclassified non-coding RNA is filed under the name Hevea brasiliensis (rubber tree). The record is from RNAcentral. Lineage: Eukaryota; Viridiplantae; Streptophyta; Magnoliopsida; Malpighiales; Euphorbiaceae.
CGAAUUUGACCAUGGGUCAAGUUCCAACAAUUCUGGCUUUGAUCAGCAGAUUUAUUGGAACAACAUUCUCAAUCAAGUAGAAACUCAGAAUUUGCCGAACUAUCUGUUAUCUCCCACAGAUGAAAAUAUGUCAUAUAUGAAUACGGCCAACCAUGAAGAUGCUGGCAUGAGUAUCUGGAGUCCUGGCGGACCAAGUUCGAGUGCACACCCACCAAACCUAGGCAGGCAUGACGAAACCAAAAUGGAGCAUGAGUGGACAUCUCUGACAAUCAAUG